CCAGGCCUCACCCCCAUUUAGACCAAUACAGCCAGCAGGUAGGGAGCUAUAAAGGAGUCAGGAGUAUUGAUUGCGCACCUUAUCCAAGCCAGGCUCCUUAAUCUCACAGCUGGCCCAGCCUCUAGCUGCUGACUCAGUCUCCGGCACAAUCCUCCACACCUGUAUCAGCCCUGAGAAGUUUCGGAAACUCCAGCACCAGCUCUGGCGAAAAGAUCUCCAUGGUCCAAGGGCAGGGCCAGUGUUUUCCAACGCACCUUCUCAUUUGUUUCUCACACCCUCAGCUAUUGCCCCCAUUGACAAACAAGGAAACAACCUGCCACUCGUUCAACAGGUCUUAGGAGCACAGUGAGAGGCUGUGUGUGGAGAAUAAAAACAGGUGCUCUCCCGCUGGGAAAGAGCUGGGGGGGGGCAAGGACAGUUGACUUCAACGUCCUCACUUACCAACUCUGUGUCCUGGGCGACCUCCUGGACCUCUCUGAGGUCAUUUCCUCUCUGGCAGGACAGGCCUGAUAGUCACACCGCAGCGGGCCAUGGUCAGGAUUCAGUGAGCUCACCAGGCCUGGCUCUGGCUGGAGCUCCAGAGCAGUGGCUUCUGUGACAAAGAACAAAGCCCCCGCGCAGCAGGGCGUUGGUAAUUAAAUCCUUUGUGCGCGAGCCGUCGCACCCCGCC
RNAcentral lists this long non-coding RNA (670 nucleotides) under Heterocephalus glaber (naked mole-rat). RNAcentral describes it as "lncRNA (ENSHGLG00000032309.1)". Lineage: Eukaryota; Metazoa; Chordata; Mammalia; Rodentia; Bathyergidae. The record is from RNAcentral.